GAUAAACGCUGGCAGCGUGCCUUUAUGCAUGCAAGUCGAACGGUCCCGAUUUAUCGGGAUAGUGGCGAACGGGUGAGUAGCGCGUAAGUAACCUACCCUCAAGUAGGGGAUAACCCUGAGAAAUUAGAGUUAAUACCCUAUGUGGUGGUGAAACUAAUGCUUGAUCACUAAAGCCUUAGGGUGCUUGGGGAGGGGCUUGCGUCCGAUUAGUUAGUUGGUAGGGGUAAUGGCUUACCAAGGCGAUGAUCGGUAGCUGGUUUGAGAGGACGGUCAGCCACACUGGGAUUGAGAUACGGCCCAGACUCCUACGGGAGGCAGCAGCAAGGAAUAUUGUGCAAUGGGCGAAAGCCUGACACAGCGACGCUGCGUGGGGGAUGAAGGCCUUUGGGUUGUAAACCCCUUUUCUCAGGGAAGAAUAAUGACGGUACCUGAGGAAUAAGUCACGGCUAACUACGUG
RNAcentral lists this ribosomal RNA (457 nucleotides) under uncultured bacterium. RNAcentral describes it as "bacterial SSU rRNA". It matches the Rfam family "Bacterial small subunit ribosomal RNA", at positions 28 to 507 of the family's 1533-position model. The record is from RNAcentral.